AACUGAUACUACCUGCGGGAACCUGCGGAAGGAUCAUUACCGAGUUUACAACUCCCAAACCCCUGUGAACUUAUACCUUUACUGUUGCUUCGGCGGGUCAUUGCCCCGGGGAAACAGGUGCCGCCAGGUCCCUGCCCCCCCGGAAACAGGCGCCCGCCGGGGGACUCAAACUCUUCUGUAUUUUUUGUUUACUGUAUACUGUCUGAGUAAAAAUUCAUAAUGAAUCAAAACUUUCAGCAA
Molecule: unclassified non-coding RNA, 240 nt
Filed under: soil metagenome
Description: partial contains 5.8S ribosomal RNA, internal transcribed spacer 2, and large subunit ribosomal RNA
Source: RNAcentral